GGAGGAGUGGCCGAGCGGUUUAAGGCACCGGUCUUGAAAACCGACGUGGGGGGAACCCCACCGUGGGUUCGAAUCCCACCUCCUCCGCCA
Molecule: transfer RNA, 90 nt
Filed under: Rhodobacter sp. CACIA14H1
Lineage: Bacteria; Pseudomonadati; Pseudomonadota; Alphaproteobacteria; Rhodobacterales
Description: tRNA-Ser
Rfam family: tRNA
About the family: Transfer RNA (tRNA) molecules are approximately 80 nucleotides in length.
Source: RNAcentral